Molecule: ribosomal RNA, 435 nt
Filed under: uncultured bacterium
Lineage: Bacteria
Description: partial 16S ribosomal RNA
Rfam family: Bacterial small subunit ribosomal RNA
Source: RNAcentral
AACGAACGCUGGCGGCAUGCCUAACACAUGCAAGUCGAACGAUUGCCUUCGGGUGAUAGUGGCGCACGGGUGCGUAACGCGUGGGAAUCUGCCCUUAGGUUCGGAAUAACAGCUGGAAACGGCUGCUCAUACCGGAUGAUAUCGCGAGAUCAAAGAUUUAUCGCCUGAGGAUGUGCCCGAGUUGGAUUAGGUAGUUGGUGGGGUAAAGGCCUACCAAGCCGACGAUCCAUAGCUGGGCUGAGAGGAUGAGCAGCCACACUGGGACUGAGACACGGCCCAGACUCCUACGGGAGGCAGGAGUGGGGGAUAGUGGAAAAUGGGCGCAAGGAUGAUCCAGCAAGGCCGGGAGAGUGAUGAAGGCCCUAGGGAUGUAAAGCUCUUUUACCCGGGAAGAUAAUGACGGUACCGGGAGAAUAAGCCCCGGCUAACUACGUG